CCUACGGGGGGCUGCAGUGGGGAAUAUUGGACAAUGGGGGGAACCCUGAUCCAGCCAUGCCGCGUGUGUGAAGAAGGCCCUCGGGUUGUAAAGCACUUUCAGUGAGGAAGAACGCCUGGUGGUUAAUACCCAUCAGGAAAGACAUCACUCACAGAAGAAGCACCGGCUAACUCCGUGCCAGCAGCCGCGGUAAUACGGAGGGUGCGAGCGUUAAUCGGAAUUACUGGGCGUAAAGCGCGCGUAGGUGGCUUGAUAAGCCGGUAGUGAAAGCCCCGGGCUCAACCUGGGAACGGCAUCCGGAACUGUCAAGCUAGAGUGCAGGAGAGGAAGGUAGAAUUCCCGGUGUAGCGGUGAAAUGCGUAGAGAUCGGGAGGAAUACCAGUGGCGAAGGCGGCCUUCUGGACUGACACUGACACUGAGGUGCGAAAGCGUGGGUAGCAAACAGGAUUAGAUACCCUUGUAGUC
This 465-nucleotide ribosomal RNA is filed under the name Vreelandella stevensii. Its description in RNAcentral is "partial 16S ribosomal RNA". It matches the Rfam family "Bacterial small subunit ribosomal RNA", at positions 338 to 795 of the family's 1533-position model. The record is from RNAcentral. Lineage: Bacteria; Pseudomonadati; Pseudomonadota; Gammaproteobacteria; Oceanospirillales; Halomonadaceae.